This 1267-nucleotide ribosomal RNA is filed under the name Melanargia epimede. Its description in RNAcentral is "partial 16S ribosomal RNA". The stretch from base 1077 to 1236 matches the Rfam family "Archaeal large subunit ribosomal RNA", at positions 2544 to 2703 of the family's 2987-position model. The record is from RNAcentral. Lineage: Eukaryota; Metazoa; Arthropoda; Insecta; Lepidoptera; Nymphalidae.
GGGGGUAAAUUAAUAAAAAAUAAAUAAUAAAAUAAAUUUUAAAAUUAAAAAUAAAUAAUGGGGGUUAAAGUAUUUUUAAUAGAAAAAAUUUGAAAUUUUAUAGGAGAUUAGUAUUGUGAAAGAAAUUUGAAAUAAGUUAAAAUUAAUUAAUUGGAAAGAAAAUUUAAUUUAUAGUAUCUUGGGUAUCAGAGUUUAUUAAAUAAAUUUUUAAAAUUAAAAAAUCUCGAAUUUAAAAGAGUUAAUUAAUUAUAAAAGUUAAUGUAACAUAAUUAUUUUAAAUAAUUAAUUAGAAAUGAAAUGUUAAUCGUUUUUAAAAAUAUCUAGUUAUUUUAGAAAAAAAUUUAAUUUAAAAUUUAAAUAAUUUUAUAAUUAAAUAAUAAAAAUUAUGAAAAUUUAAAUUUAAUAUAUUAAGGGAUAAACUUUAAAUUAAAAAUUUAUAAUAAGAUAAAUAAAAAUUAAAAUUUUUAAAAUUUAUAUUGUUUAAAAAUUAUAAUUUUUUAUAAAAAAUUUUAAUAUAAAUAAAAUUUAAUAAAAAAAAAAUUUAAAUUUAUAUAAAAUAAUAUUUUUUAAUUUAAUAAAAUUAAUAAUAAUGAUAAAAUUAGUAAAUAAAUAAUAAAAAUAAGUAAAUAUUAAUUAAAAUUGAAAAAAAGGAAUUCGGCAAAUAAAAUAUUCACUUGUUUAUCAAAAACAUGUCUUUUUGAAAUAAUUUAAAGUCUAAUCUGCCCACUGAUAAAAAUUAAAGGGCUGCAGUAUAAUGACUGUACAAAGGUAGCAUAAUCAAUAGUUUUUUAAUUGGAAACUUGUAUGAAAGAUUUGAUGAAAUAUAAACUGUCUCUAUUUUAUAAAUUGAAUUUUAUUUUUUAGUAAAAAAGCUAAAAUAAAUUUAAAAGACGAGAAGACCCUAUAGAGUUUUAUAUUUAAUUUUAUUUGAAAAUUAUAUAAAAAUUAUUAUUUAAAUAAAAUUAAUUAUUAUGUUGGGGUGACAGAAAAAUUAAAUUAACUUUUUUUAAAAAUUAAACAUAAAUAAGUGAUUAUAUGAUCCAUAAAUAAUGAUUAUAAGAAAAAAUUACCUUAGGGAUAACAGCGUAAUAUUUUUUUUUAGUUCAAAUAAAAAAGAAAGUUUGCGACCUCGAUGUUGGAUUAAGAUAAAAUUUAAAUGCAAAAGUUUAAAAUUUUUGAUCUGUUCGAUCAUUAAAAUCUUACAUGAUCUGAGUUCAAACCGGUGUGAGCCAGGUUGGUUUCUAUCUUUAGAUAAAAUAAUAUUUUA